Clarias gariepinus (North African catfish) is the source of this 1144-nucleotide long non-coding RNA. RefSeq lists it as uncharacterized. The transcript is spliced from 4 exons. The record is from RefSeq and is a predicted model, not a curated record. NCBI's taxonomy places the organism in Eukaryota, Metazoa, Chordata, Actinopteri, Siluriformes, Clariidae.
UUUUGCAAAGAUCAAGUGGCUCGAGGGCAAAGGACAUCAGGUAAGGUUUGAUGCUGUAAAUGAUGAGGUCACCAGCGUGACCUGGUACUACCAGGUGGCGGAUCAAGCAUCAGCAAUCAACUCUACACAUGGCUCUCAUUAAGGAUCUUGCUCACAUUCUCAACAGUUUCAAGUUGGCAGUGCUGAGUCUUGAACCCCUGACCUUCUAAUCAGAAACCCAGAAAAUGACCAGAAUUCUUAAGGUCAAAAACCCAGCCCCACCAAGCUGACACUGUUAGUCCCUUGAGCAAGGCCUUAACCCUCAACUGCUCAAAAUCCUGUAAAUAUAGAAUUUCUCUUUUUCGAAUUCUACAACCAUGUUGUGGCAAAGCAUUGAUUUUGCUUCAAAAAUGACUGUACUGACUUUGACUGACUUCACUAGACGUGACCGGAGCAAUAUCUUGACAUGUAAAAAGCGUCCACCACCUCACCACAUUGGACCAUCUGAUACUCACAACAACUUGCCACAGGUUUCACGCCGAAUGCCCGUCCUGACACAAUCCUCCCAUUUUAUCUGGGCUUGGGACUGGCACUGCAUCCAGUGGCUGGGUUUGGGCAUUUUGAUACAAUGUGCCGGAGCAGUGGUGUAGGUUGCUGCGACAUCAUGUGCUUUUCAGAGCUGGGGCAGAGGGUUACCACCUUGGGGUGAUUGGCAGUCACAGUUAAAACAGACCGCACCCUCAAUCAAUCCCAGUAUGAGUACAUCAGGAGCAGGGGCGUCUCCACAGGGAGGAUCAGCUACUGCUGAUGUGCAGAGAUGCUGUGGUUCAGAUACGCAAACAGGAGCAACACUCAGCACGGUGCACAACACACACAGCUCAGCACUUUACUGGGACACAAACACUGGCAUGUAGUGCAGUUAGUGACAGCAGCUCUGAAAUGUCAUGAGUAUGAUAAGCUGAUCCAGUUUUCGGGAAGCGACGUUCUCCUCUACCUAACCAAGUCAGAGAACUGGAGUUGUCAGAGUGUGAAGGUGCGCAGGGAGCUCAUCAAGGUCGUAGCAAAUACUGCAAAAAACUAGAUUUAGAUUUUCCUUUCUUGUGUGUUUUGUUUGCCAACAAUUUAUUUAUAAACGUCUAAUCAAGAAUUAAAAGUCUAGCUAGAC